Molecule: ribosomal RNA, 164 nt
Filed under: Saracha quitensis
Lineage: Eukaryota; Viridiplantae; Streptophyta; Magnoliopsida; Solanales; Solanaceae
Description: 5.8S ribosomal RNA
Rfam family: 5.8S ribosomal RNA
About the family: 5.8S ribosomal RNA (5.8S rRNA) is a component of the large subunit of the eukaryotic ribosome. It is transcribed by RNA polymerase I as part of the 45S precursor that also contains 18S and 28S rRNA. Functionally, it is thought that 5.8S rRNA may be involved in ribosome translocation.
Source: RNAcentral
CAAACGACUCUCGGCAACGGAUAUCUCGGCUCUCGCAUCGAUGAAGAACGYARCGAAAUGCGAUACUUGGUGUGAAUUGCAGAAUCCCGUGAACCAUCGAGUCUUUGAACGCAAGUUGCGCCCGAAGCCAUUAGGCCGAGGGCACGUCUGCCUGGGCGUCACGC